CACGUAGGCGGUCGUGUAAGUCGGAUGUGAAAUCCCAGGGCUUAACCCUGGAAGUGCAUCCGAUACUGCACGACUUGAGUCCCGGAGAGGGUGGUGGAAUUCCUGGUGUAGAGGUGAAAUUCGUAGAUAUCAGGAGGAACACCGGUGGCGAAGGCGACCACCUGGACGGAGACUGACGCUGAGGUGCGAAAGCGUGGGGAGCAAACA
Molecule: ribosomal RNA, 207 nt
Filed under: uncultured bacterium
Lineage: Bacteria
Description: partial 16S ribosomal RNA
Rfam family: Bacterial small subunit ribosomal RNA
Source: RNAcentral